GGUUAAGCGACUAAGCGUACACGGUGGAUGCCCUGGCAGUCAGAGGCGAUGAAGGACGUGCUAAUCUGCGAAAAGCGUCGGUAAGGUGAUAUGAACCGUUAUAACCGGCGAUGUCCGAAUGGGGAAACCCAGUGCAAUUCGUUGCACUAUCGUUAACUGAAUACAUAGGUUAACGAGGCGAACCGGGGGAACUGAAACAUCUAAGUACCCCGAGGAAAAGAAAUCAACCGAGAUUCCCCCAGUAGCGGCGAGCGAACGGGGAGCAGCCCAGAGUCUGAAUCAGCUUGUGUGUUAGUGGAACGGUCUGGAAAGUCCGACGGUACAGGGUGAUAGUCCCGUACACCAAAAUGCACAGGUUGUGAACUCGAAGAGUAGGGCGGGACACGUGGUAUCCUGUCUGAAUAUGGGGGGACCAUCCUCCAAGGCUAAAUACUCCUGACUGACCGAUAGUGAACCAGUACCGUGAGGGAAAGGCGAAAAGAACCCCGGCGAGGGGAGUGAAAAAGAACCUGAAACCGUGUACGUACAAGCAGUGGGAGCACCUUCGGGUGUGACUGCGUACCUUUUGUAUAAUGGGUCAGCGACUUAUAUUCUGUAGCAAGGUUAACCGUAUAGGGGAGCCGCAGGGAAACCGAGUCUUAACUGGGCGUUAAGUUGCAGGGUAUAGACCCGAAACCCGGUGAUCUAGCCAUGGGCAGGUUGAAGGUUGGGUAACACUAACUGGAGGACCGAACCGACUAAUGUUGAAAAAUUAGCGGAUGACUUGUGGCUGGGGGUGAAAGGCCAAUCAAACCGGGAGAUAGCUGGUUCUCCCCGAAAGCUAUUUAGGUAGCGCCUCGUGAACUCAUCUUCGGGGGUAGAGCACUGUUUCGGCUAGGGGGUCAUCCCGACUUACCAACCCGAUGCAAACUACGAAUACCGAAGAAUGUUAUCACGGGAGACACACGGCGGGUGCUAACGUCCGUCGUGAAGAGGGAAACAACCCAGACCGCCAGCUAAGGUCCCAAAGUCAUGGUUAAGUGGGAAACGAUGUGGGAAGGCACAGACAGCCAGGAUGUUGGCUUAGAAGCAGCCAUCAUUUAAAGAAAGCGUAAUAGCUCACUGGUCGAGUCGGCCUGCGCGGAAGAUGUAACGGGGCUAAACCAUGCACCGAAGCUGCGGCAGCGACACUAUGUGUUGUUGGGUAGGGGAGCGUUCUGUAAGCCUGCGAAGGUG
This 1215-nucleotide ribosomal RNA is filed under the name Klebsiella pneumoniae. Its description in RNAcentral is "partial 23S ribosomal RNA". It matches the Rfam family "Bacterial large subunit ribosomal RNA", at positions 1 to 1258 of the family's 2925-position model. Lineage: Bacteria; Pseudomonadati; Pseudomonadota; Gammaproteobacteria; Enterobacterales; Enterobacteriaceae. The record is from RNAcentral.